GGAUCCAGACUUUGAUCCUGGCUCAGGAUGAGCGCUAGCUACAGGCUUAACACAUGCAAGUCGAGGGGAAACGACAUCGAAAGCUUGCUUUUGAUGGGCGUCGACCGGCGCACGGGUGAGUAACGCGUAUCCAACCUGCCCAUCACUUGGGGAUAACCUUGCGAAAGUAAGACUAAUACCCAAUGAUAUCUCUAGAAGACAUCUGAAGGAGAUUAAAGAUUUAUCGGUGAUGGAUGGGGAUGCGUCUGAUUAGCUUGUUGGCGGGGUAACGGCCCACCAAGGCGACGAUCAGUAGGGGUUCUGAGAGGAAGGUCCCCCACAUUGGAACUGAGACACGGUCCAAACUCCUACGGGAGGCAGCAGUGAGGAAUAUUGGUCAAUGGGCGAGAGCCUGAACCAGCCAAGUAGCGUGCAGGAUGACGGCCCUAUGGGUUGUAAACUGCUUUUAUAAGGGAAUAAAGUGAGUCUCGUGAGACUUUUUGCAUGUACCUUAUGAAUAAGGACCGGCUAAUUCCGUGCCAGCAGCCGCGGUAAUACGGAAGGUCCGGGCGUUAUCCGGAUUUAUUGGGUUUAAAGGGAGCGUAGGCCGGAGAUUAAGCGUGUUGUGAAAUGUAGAUGCUCAACAUCUGCACUGCAGCGCGAACUGGUUUCCUUGAGUACGCACAAAGUGGGCGGAAUUCGUGGUGUAGCGGUGAAAUGCUUAGAUAUCACGAAGAACUCCGAUUGCGAAGGCAGCUCACUGGAGCGCAACUGACGCUGAAGCUCGAAAGUGCGGGUAUCGAACAGGAUUAGAUACCCUGGUAGUCCGCACGGUAAACGAUGGAUGCCCGCUGUUGGUCUGAAUAGGUCAGCGGCCAAGCGAAAGCAUUAAGCAUCCCACCUGGGGAGUACGCCGGCAACGGUGCAACUCAAAUGAAUUGACGG
Molecule: ribosomal RNA, 924 nt
Filed under: uncultured bacterium
Lineage: Bacteria
Also listed under: 1 other name
Description: bacterial SSU rRNA
Rfam family: Bacterial small subunit ribosomal RNA
Source: RNAcentral